UGUGUGUCUGUGUGUUGAGUGUGAGUGUGUAUGUGUGUGUAGGGGUCGGGGUGGGGGGGUCCGUGUUCGCGAUCUGAACCUUUGGUACCUACAAGGAGGGUGUCUCACCGAACGGUAGCUAAGACCUCACCAGGACCGCGCGAAGUGAGGAGUCGCGUCCAAAGGCGCCCGCCGGAGCCUCGUCUCUGGGCCGGACCCCAACCCGAGCGGCCGAAAGGAACCCCCCGCCCGGAUCACAGCGACAAAAUGAUACCAUCAUUUUUAUGUGACUCAUAUGCAAAACGAAAUACAUUCAUCUCUGAGGUCUGCUGA
RNAcentral lists this long non-coding RNA (312 nucleotides) under Physeter macrocephalus (sperm whale). RNAcentral's name for it is "Physeter catodon (sperm whale) lncRNA (ENSPCTG00005010481.1)". Lineage: Eukaryota; Metazoa; Chordata; Mammalia; Artiodactyla; Physeteridae. The record is from RNAcentral.